GACGAACGCUGGCGGCGUGCUUAACACAUGCAAGUCGAACGGAAAGGCCCUGCUUGCAGGGUACUCGAGUGGCGAACGGGUGAAUAACACGUGGGUGAUCUGCCCUGCACUUCGGGAUAAGCCUGGUAAACUGGGUCUAAUACCGGAUAGGAGCCAUUUUUAGUGUGAUGGUUGGAAAGUUUUUUCGGUGUAGGAUGAGCUCGCGGCCUAUCAGCUUGUUGGUGGGGUAAUGGCCUACCAAGGCGGCGACGGGUAGCCGGCCUGAGAGGGUGGACGGCCACAUUGGGACUGAGAUACGGCCCAGACUCCUACGGGAGGCAGCAGUGGGGAAUAUUGCACAAUGGGCGCAAGCCUGAUGCAGCGACGCCGCGUGGGGGAUGACGGCCUUCGGGUUGUAAACUCCUUUCGCUAGGGACGAAGCUUUUUGUGACGGUACCUAGAUAAGAAGCACCGGCUAACUACGUG
Molecule: ribosomal RNA, 465 nt
Filed under: uncultured bacterium
Lineage: Bacteria
Description: partial 16S ribosomal RNA
Rfam family: Bacterial small subunit ribosomal RNA
Source: RNAcentral